Molecule: ribosomal RNA, 429 nt
Filed under: Bacteroidota bacterium
Lineage: Bacteria; Pseudomonadati; Bacteroidota
Description: Bacteroidetes bacterium partial 16S ribosomal RNA
Rfam family: Bacterial small subunit ribosomal RNA
Source: RNAcentral
UAGGGAAUCUUCCGCAAUGGACGCAAGUCUGACGGAGCAACGCCGCGUGAGUGAAGAAGGAUUUCGGUUCGUAAAACUCUGUUGUUAGAGAAGAACAGCGCAUAGAGUAACUGUUAUGCGUGUGACGGUAUCUAACCAGAAAGCCACGGCUAACUACGUGCCAGCAGCCGCGGUAAUACGUAGGUGGCAAGCGUUGUCCGGAUGUAUUGGGCGUAAAGCGAGCGCAGGCGGUCAAUUAAGUCUGAUGUGAAAGCCCACGGCUAAACCGUGGAGGGUCAUUGGAAACUGGAAAGCGUGAGUGCAGAAGAGGAAAGUGGAAUUCCAUGUGUAGCGGUGAAAUGCGCAGAGAUAUGGAGGAACACCAGUGGCGAAGGCGACUUUCUGGUCUGUAACUGACGCUGAUGUGCGAAAGCGUGGGGAUCAAACAGG